GAUGAACGCUGGCGGCGUGCCUAAUACAUGCAAGUCGAGCGAACAGACGAGGAGCUUGCUCCUCUGACGUUAGCGGCGGACGGGUGAGUAACACGUGGAUAACCUACCUAUAAGACUGGGAUAACUUCGGGAAACCGGAGCUAAUACCGGAUAAUAUAUUGAACCGCAUGGUUCAAUAGUGAAAGACGGUUUUGCUGUCACUUAUAGAUGGAUCCGCGCCGCAUUAGCUAGUUGGUAAGGUAACGGCUUACCAAGGCAACGAUGCGUAGCCGACCUGAGAGGGUGAUCGGCCACACUGGAACUGAGACACGGUCCAGACUCCUACGGGAGGCAGCAGUAGGGAAUCUUCCGCAAUGGGCGAAAGCCUGACGGAGCAACGCCGCGUGAGUGAUGAAGGUCUUCGGAUCGUAAAACUCUGUUAUUAGGGAAGAUCAAAUGUGUAAGUAACUAUGCACGUCUUGACGGUACCUAAUCAGAAAGCCACGACUAACUACGUG
Molecule: ribosomal RNA, 497 nt
Filed under: uncultured bacterium
Lineage: Bacteria
Description: partial 16S ribosomal RNA
Rfam family: Bacterial small subunit ribosomal RNA
Source: RNAcentral